GCCACAAAAAGUUCAAAUAAUUGGCUUGAAAUCGUCCAAGUACCUUGAAAGCUCAAAAUUUGGCUAAUAUUGACCCAAUAGCCUGAAAUUUAGCUCAAAACGGAACUAGAUACCCGAAAAGUCUAAAAUUUGGCUUAAAAUGGUUCUACAUGUCCAAAAAGCCUGAAAAUUGGGCUAAAGUUAACCAAAAAGCUUCGAAUUUUGCUCGAAUAUACUAAAAAUUAGAAAAUUAGCCUAUAAGUUACCCAUAAGCUAU
This is a small nucleolar RNA of Caenorhabditis elegans, 256 nucleotides long. Lineage: Eukaryota; Metazoa; Nematoda; Chromadorea; Rhabditida; Rhabditidae. The record is from Ensembl.